AACGAACGCUGGCGGCAGGCUUAACACAUGCAAGUCGAACGCAUCCUUCGGGGUGAGUGGCAGACGGGUGAGUAACGCGUGGGAACGUGCCCUUCAGUUCGGGAUAACCCAGGGAAACUUGGGCUAAUACCGGAUACGUGCGAGAGCAGAAAGAUUUAUCGCUGAAGGAUCGGCCCGCGUCUGAUUAGCUAGUUGGUGGGGUAAUGGCCCACCAAGGCGACGAUCAGUAGCUGGUCUGAGAGGAUGAUCAGCCACGUUGGGACUGAGACACGGCCCAAACUCCUACGGGAGGCAGCAGUGGGGAAUAUUGGACAAUGGGCGCAAGCCUGAUCCAGCCAUGCCGCGUGAGUGAUGAAGGCCUUAGGGUUGUAAAGCUCUUUCGUCCGGGACGAUAAUGACGGUACCGGAAGAGGAAGCCCCGGCUAACUUCGUGCCAGCCGCCGCAGUAA
RNAcentral lists this ribosomal RNA (449 nucleotides) under uncultured bacterium. RNAcentral describes it as "partial 16S ribosomal RNA". It matches the Rfam family "Bacterial small subunit ribosomal RNA", at positions 29 to 523 of the family's 1533-position model. The record is from RNAcentral.